Molecule: long non-coding RNA, 425 nt
Organism: Amblyraja radiata (thorny skate)
Lineage: Eukaryota; Metazoa; Chordata; Chondrichthyes; Rajiformes; Rajidae
Exons: 3
Source: RefSeq, a predicted model, not a curated record
UGCCGCUGUCUCUACUUUCUUAGGAGUUUAAAGAGAUUCGGUAUGUCUCCAAAGAUUCUACAAACAUUUACAGAUAUAUUGCAGAAAGUAUCCUGACUGGUUGCAUCAUGGCCUGGUAUGGCCAUUCCAACAGAGGACCACAAGAGGCUGCAAGAGUGGUGGACCCAGCCUGGUCCAUCACAAGCACAACCAUCCCCAUCAUCAAAAGCAUCCACAUGAAGUGUUGGCUCAAGAAGGCGGCAUCUAUGAUCACGGAUCCCCACCAUCCUGGCCAUGCCCUCUCCUCACCGCUACCGUCGGGCAGAAGGUACAGAAGCUUGAAGUCCCACACCACCAGGUUCAGGAACAGCGACUUUCCUACAGCCAUCAAGUUCUUGAACCGACCCACACAACCCUAAUCCCACCUCAACAACUGAGGCUUGUGG